UUGAAGGAAAGUAGCGCCAGUCGCCCGCGGUACACCGUACGCGUGAGGGCUGUCCGCGUCGUCUUUCUUCACGGUGUAUAAACACUGCCAUUCGUUUUACUCACAACUGUCACAACCGAUUAAGUGUGAUCGUGAACGUGACCGGUAUUCACGAUAAUCCGGCUCACAGCGAAGAAGCAUCGAACGGAAGAAUCAACGGCGACUGAUUGAAAAAAGAAAUCAAGAUAAAUUGAAAGGAAGAAAUCACGCGUCAAAGAUUACCUAAGAUAAAUUCGACGAGGUGUAAAGAAACAAAUAAAGAGAAGAAAAGAGAAGUCACUCGCGAGAACCACGUGUUUUCAUCGGAAUAUACAUCGAAAACUUGAACCAGGAUUCUUCGACUAUCUUCAAACUAACUUAGGAUUACAGAAACGACGAAUCAUCAUGAUACAUCGUGGAAACGUACGACUGAUACGUUGCAACAAACCGGAAAUGUACCACGAUUCUUUUACGAUAAUUCAACUGUCUUAUCGAUCGCCGAUUUGAAAAGUCGGCGGAUGGACGUGGUAGCGGCUGGAAAGUCCGAACACGGAGGAAAGUACGAACCUGGAAUCCGUCGUCAUCGGCGGCGACGUCGAAGAAAGGCCAAGUUGACGAAAGUCGGCAGAUUUUCACGGAGGAAGAAGAAGAGCGCGAACUCGUUAUUGAAUCAAGAGAGGUAGAGGCGAAUCGUGGUGAUAGAUAUUGAGUAAAUCGUGCUUCUUCUAA
Apis florea (little honeybee) is the source of this 747-nucleotide long non-coding RNA. Lineage: Eukaryota; Metazoa; Arthropoda; Insecta; Hymenoptera; Apidae. The record is from RefSeq and is a predicted model, not a curated record.